RNAcentral lists this ribosomal RNA (116 nucleotides) under Morganella psychrotolerans. The record is from RNAcentral. RNAcentral also lists the same sequence under 1 other name. Lineage: Bacteria; Pseudomonadati; Pseudomonadota; Gammaproteobacteria; Enterobacterales; Morganellaceae.
CCUGGCGGCACUAGCGCGGUGGUCCCACCUGACCCCAUGCCGAACUCAGAAGUGAAACGCCGUAGCGCCGAUGGUAGUGUGGGGUCUCCCCAUGUGAGAGUAGGGAACCGCCAGGU